Molecule: ribosomal RNA, 253 nt
Filed under: uncultured bacterium
Lineage: Bacteria
Description: partial 16S ribosomal RNA
Rfam family: Bacterial small subunit ribosomal RNA
Source: RNAcentral
UACGGAGGGUGCAAGCGUUGUCCGGAUUUAUUGGGUUUAAAGGGUGCGUAGGCGGGAUAUUAAGUCAGUGGUGAAAGCCUUCAGCUCAACUGAAGGACUGCCAAUGAUACUGGUAUUCUGGAGUACAGACGAGGUAGGCGGAAUUUAUGGUGUAGCGGUGAAAUGCAUAGAUACCAUAAAGAACACCGAUAGCGAAGGCAGCUUACCAGGCUGUAACUGACGCUGAGGCACGAAAGCGUGGGGAGCGAACAGG